GAAAAAGCAACAGCUAGCGUCGGCAUUAAUUCUUUAUCUAUGUCAUGAACUAUUAAGAUAGAUAGCUUUCGCCUUUGAGUUAAAGCAUCUCUCUCUCUCUAGAUAUAUACAUGUACAUGUGUGUGUAUAUGGAAACAAAACAUGUAAGGUUUUUAGGAGCAUAGGAGCCCAAAGUUGCCGCACCUCACCAUCACCAUCACCAUCAAAUCAACCUUCUGAUCAUCAACAUGCAGCAGCCUCUGCUCACCAUCAUCUCUAAUUUAUAAUGGCACGCAGGGGCAGUGGGAGGAGAUUGAUCAGAUGGAAAGAGCAACACCCCUGCGAAACUUAAAUCUUAUCUAUAUCUCUUUUUGACAUGCAAAUGUGUGUGUACUAUGUAGAUUUAUGUCGAUUGUUAGUCCAAGAAAAAGGAAAAGGAAACCCAAGAAAUAAGAGUGCGCAGAGACACCAGUGCAAUCGUAGGGCAGUGAAUAAUGCAAGGAUUUGGCAGAGAAAGAUAACUGCACAUUUCUCUGUCAUGAAAUUAAUAGACAAACAUAAGUGAUAUUAAAAACUUUUGUCUUUCUCUGCGUCUUUUUGUGACUCUGCCUUGUUAAUUGCUAAGAAAGAGUUUUGCCUAAAACAUGUAUAUCAACUAUCUUAAUUAUUUCGUUAA
Long non-coding RNA from Hevea brasiliensis (rubber tree), 655 nucleotides. RefSeq lists it as uncharacterized. The record is from RefSeq and is a predicted model, not a curated record. Lineage: Eukaryota; Viridiplantae; Streptophyta; Magnoliopsida; Malpighiales; Euphorbiaceae. The transcript has 2 exons.